UGCAAUUCUUUUUGUAUAAUAGAAUUUAGGUUAAUUCUGGACUCUCAGAACUUGACUCGGGCACUUGCUGUUGGUCAGCCAUCUUUUGCCAGCUACUUUGCCUUGCAAACUCGCAGCACUAGAUGGCAGUGCAAUGGCAAAAACCUGCCCCGUGCUGCCAGCCAGGGAAGUCAAUUUUUACCUAAAAAGCUGGAUGAAAUUUAAAAUUUGAAUGCAAAACAACCAGACCUUAACAUGCCUCUUCAACCUCCUUAAAUUUCUGUAACGGUCUCUGUAAAGACCUAGGACAAGGUCUUCACUUAUGACCCAAUGGCAGAGGAGCUACACCAGUUUAUGCCACCCACAGAUUUGGCCCACAGAGCUCACAUGACUAUCACAGCCAUACCUGUGAUUUGCAUAUAUAUGAUAUUAGGUCAGGAAAGAAAUUCGGGUAAGGUUUAAAAUGCAGAAGCAGUAAAGCAAACAAGCAUGAUAUUUUUCUUCACAAUUAAGCUUUCCUUACUCUUCAGCUAUUGUUCAUGCUUCCCCACAGGAUAACGCUUUGAGUUGCUUUGCAGCCCCAGACUUGGUGGUGCAAUAAAUGAAGCUACAGGUCACCUCAUUUCAAUUCUUUUGACAUAAAAAGCCUCUGCAACAUUCAAUCCCAUUUUGUGGCCCAAAGGGGAACGUAAGUGGUGCAUGGGUAUUGGUUUGGUUUUCUGUAGGGAAAAUUCCAUCCUAUGAGCCCAUGUAAUUGAACCGUAUGGGUUACAUGUGUUCAUGUAUGUUUUCUUAGGUCUGGAUUAGCACCCUCAUUUAUGACCAAGAUUUGAACAAGGAGGAAAAUGUCACAGUACAGGAAAAAAAAAAAACAACAAGAUAAAAAUAAAAGGCAGAAAGACAGUCUUCACCACACUAAACAUCAUCCUUUUUGGACAUCACGAAUACAGCUGUUGGCCAAGAGUGAGAUCUGAAGGUCUUUGUUAGGAAACGUUAUUGCUGAGAUUUUCACUGUUUGGAUUUCCUGUUUUCCUCACUUCUGAACCCUUUAGCUUUUGUAAUCUAAGCAGGGUCAGGUCUGGUCAUCCGUGGGGAAACAGACUGACUGUGAACAACAAAGCUAUGUACUGCAAGAACAGCACUGAGCAGUCAGUAGGUAAAUGGCUGGGUAGGGUAUGGAGGCAGCCAGAAUCCUCAGCAGAGUCUGCUCUGACCUUCCACGUGAUGCUGGCCAUAAGACUUCCCUGUUUGAACUGGCUCUGUCUAGAUAAAAAAUACCUGUCCUUGAUUUUAAAACACUUGAGUGAUGAAAAACCACCCACUGUCCUUCAGAAGUGCUUUCAGGGGUUAAUGGCCUUUGGCUGUUAAAAACAAGUAUCUUAUUUUUGCUCAAAAUCUACUUAGCUUUAAUUUCCUUGUCUUGCAUUUGAUUAUACCUCUAUCUGUAGACAGAAGAACUCUCGUGAAAAUUUUUGGUAGGAGUCUGAUGCCCAGAUACAAAAUGCUCCAAAAGAUGCUCCAAGAGCCAUCAACUUCCAGAUAAGAUGUGAAAGUCAGAUUGGAAACAUUUGAUCUCUCCCCAAACCCAUUCUUGUUAAAUGUGCCAAAAUCCAUUCAGUCAAUCCAUUCACUGACUAUCCACAAACUCCCUCUCCAGUAUCAGUAUCAUAAAAUGCUUUUAACAGUGCUGAAGUGGUGAUAUCCCUGCAUGCAUGUGCCUUUAUGUUUUCAUUGGCUGAACACUGUAAUAUUUUUCCCUGCAACAGCUAAAGCAAAGUUAGCCCUAGAAGGGAUGAAAUUAAACCAGUGUAAAGGUGCAUGAUUGAAAAUAUACAGAGAGAGGUUGAAAAGUCCCACCCACUGUGGCCACACUUGGUGGCAGGUCAUAUAAUUAUACCAGCAUAGUUGAAGGGAUAUAAUCCUAUUGUGGUAGGUGCUAUUAAUGUUAUUGUGUAAUAUUAUUUGCCACUGUGUGGUACUUAGCAGUUACUCUAAGUAAAGUGAUUAAGCACUGUACAACAUGGCUGUGUAUCAGGUGAGCCUGUGGAGUAAAUCAGUGCUGUCAGCCAGUCCAGUUCUUUGUGCAGAGUCUGAAGGAAUGACUGCCAUAGUGUACUGAGCUCAUUUUAACUUCUGCACAUGCAUUUGAUGUAAGCUAAACUUGGGCCUGUCUCACCAUCCCUGCAGUGUGACCAGGAAUUCUGCUUUGUACCAUCUCUGCCAGUAUCCCUCAUUUCCUUUCCACCAUUUGAAACACCAAUUUUCACCAGCGGAUAGGUUAGAUCUGCUCUGGAAGGCAGCCUUCACAAGGCUAAUAACUUUCCUUCCCUUUCUAAUUAUGCAUGGCCCAUUUUCUCACAGAUAUGCGUUGGCUUUUCUCAGGGUUAUCAUGGCACAGCCCAUCCGUGUUUUUGAGUUCCUUCUAGCUGCAAGUGUGAUUAAGUUCAACUUUUUUGAAGGGCAGCUGGGAAGACUUUCACAGAGUGGCAUUUAAGGGUUGGAUUUGUCCCAGAACCUCCACCGAAUGCCUUGGAUUUCACCUUCAAAUGCAUAGGUAUAGGCGAUGCCAUGCAGACAUUUAGGACUUGAUUCUCCUCUCACUACAGUGCUGUUUUGAAGAAAGGCAGAGAAAUUACCUGGAUUAUAUCAGCAUAAUUUAUAUCUUUGUAAAAGGACAAUUGGGUUCUUGGGUUGCUGGAUGGAUAAUACGCUGUUUCAGUCAAGUUGUUAGGUAUCUGAAGGUGUCAGGGCUAUUCUGCAAAUUGAACUAUGAUGUGGAGUGAGAGGACCCGGGGUCCUGCUGUGAUCUCUCUCUGCCUUCUUCCCCGUGUACAUGCCUGAGUGGGGCAAUGUGCCCCAUCUCUCCUCUGGAGCGGGUGGGCUGGGCAGCGGCUCCAGUUCUCCCACUCGCUGACCCUCCCAGCAGUAUUGCUGCAACAGGACGUUGUGACUUACGAGGACGAGGACGGGCCAGCAGGAAAUUCCUACCUCCGCCCCCCAGGAGAAAGAAGGAAGCAGAAGAAGCGCUGUGACUCACUCGGUCAUGACUGAGUCACUGCAGACGCAGUUCCCGGGGUGGUGCUCAGCUCGCACCAGCCCUGAUCCUGACCCUGCGCACAGCCCCGCUCCCCGUCCCCUGGAGCGCAGCUGGAAUUAACUUGCACUUCUGCACUGAUGCCCAGAGUUAUCUGAGGGGGAGAAUGAGAAGCUGCAUGUAGAAAAAGACCUGAUUUAGUCAAUGCUCUUCUUUAACACCUGAAGCAAUUUAUGGCAGGUGCCUGGCAGCUUACAGUAUUCAACGGGAUAUUUAUUGGGGAUCAGAAAAUAUACUUAGUUGAACAAAUCUCUCAUCUGUCUUCGGCUUACCACAGACUCGCUGAAAUUGGAUGGGAUCAUUUGCUGUCCAGUUGCAGAUAAUAAAUCAAAGAGCUGAAGAAACUGCAGGAGAAAGGGCAUGAACUGACCAAACAUUUAGCUUAUUGUAGUAAGCAUCAGCCCAGCCAAAAUGAAAGUUUCCAGCAAAUUUUCACUUAUCUCAAAUCCAGUUAUUAUUAUCAGCUCCCUGUAGGCAGCUGAGUUGUCUAAGUAAACAGAGGUCACUUUACCUUGACUAAACAAUGACUUUGCUAUAGUCGGUGCCAGCUAUGUAGCAGUUACAAAAUGCACUUUGAAGGCUUGCUGGUAGCAGGCUGCCAGGGUGAAUGAACCAGUCAGUCUGGUCUACUUUGGGCAGGAUUUAGGAUGCUUAGUUAGAUGAAGCUGUGGUCGGAUCAGCUGAUCCCAUUCUUUGAGUGGGGAUAUAGUACGCAAACGAACAGACAUGUAUAAGGAGGAAGCGGACAGGAGCUGGGGGAGUGGAGAAAGGAUGACUUUCCUCUGAUGUCAAAAAUCCCAUCAUUCAGUGCUCACAGUGAAAAAGACAAGAGGAGAAGAACGUGGAGAGAGAGAGAGGGAGAGGGAGAAGAAAUGAAGGGGAAGCAUGCACUAAUUUUUCUCCCUCAUUCUGUAGGCUAGCACUGUCCACCCUAAUAGGAUGGAGAAAAUAGCCUGAUCCCGAGUGCCAAGUUCUGAACAGCCUUCCAAGCCCCAGGGAUUGUUCACAACCCCAUCCCGAUCUGGACUUGAGGUGUUAGAUAUCCAGCUCUCCCAGGAUUUCUGCAGUGUGGUGAGAAAAGGACCAGAGCUGGCUGUAAGUGAAUUAGAUCAAGCAGCAGACACAGGAUUGCUGGAGUUGCCUGCAUCUCUGUCCAGGCUGCUAAUUCUUCCUUCUGAGGAGCUGAUUUCAAAAGGUGGUUCUUCCCAAACAAAGAUAAGCAGUCAGUUGCCUACUGAAGAAACCCCCUUCCUCCCCAUAGGAGGGAGUGGCCUUUUAGUGAUCAAGGCGAACAUGUGUAGGAAAGGGGGUUCUAUUGGAAAUGCUUAAGGCAUUCUCGAAUACGUUCCUUGAAGAGUUGGGCCUAGCAAUAUGGCAGCGCACAUUCGAUAAGAAAUCUUGUAAAAUGCUGCUACUGAGGAUAUCAGAUGAGGAUAACAAAAGUAAUCUGGACAUAGCAGCUCUCUUCCAAGGACCUCAGAACACUCCAAGGACAUGGUAAGUAUUGUUGUGAUGAUUCUGUAUUUUGGGGAUGCAGGGUAGGAAGAGGUGAAGUGAUUUUAUCACUGACUUGAUGGGGAAUUAGACAACAGUAUACAAAACAGUGAGGUUCAAAUUAGAAGUUUUGGGUUGUCAAGCUCCUCACUUGAUAGAGCACUGUUCUGGUAAUGCCCAAAUCAUGAUGCCUUUGCCCAGCUUUGCUUUCCAUAUAUGUGCCUCACACUGUGAAUUUGUACCUUGUCCUCAUGUCAUUAGAAUUCUUUGUUUGUAUUAUUAAAUACUUUUUACUCCACUGAAGACAUUUUAUUAAUUUGUAAACUAUUCUCAUAUGUUAUCAUAUAUGCUGUCCAUAUAGCUGAGAUGUAACUUAUUUUAAAGGUAUUUCCUAAAUGAUCUCUGUAUAGUUUGCCCAGAGUGAAAUUAUUGAUUUGUCUCAAAAAGGUCUUAAGGUUUUAUAGUUAAUGCUUAAGUCUCUAAACCAUCCUCUCUGGCUGAGCAUCCUUUCUCCUGUGUGCCUUCUACUUUGAAUUGCUAAUUCCAAUUGGUCACAAAAAAGUAGUAAUAGUUUGUCUUUACUCUGCUUUUGCUGUAACUGUGCACCUACCAAAGUCUCUUCUUCCUUUGAACUUGUCUUCGUAAUUAAACUCAUUCUUCCUUUCUGUUUUCCAGCUUCUCUCUCCAAACUUUUUCUCACUCCAUUUCUGCAAGACCUUUUCCUGCAAACCAGGGCCCUGAGAGGAUUAGUGAAGGGGGUGCCAAUUUAUUUAAACCCACCUCAGCAUGGUAGCAGCCAAUUAUUAUAAGUUACUGAAUUGGUAAAUGACCUGUAGCACACAAAAGAAGCUUCAGUCUUCAGGUGUAGUUCAGAGUGGAUAAGUGUCUACCUCACAGCUGCUCUGAACUUACCGCCAGUUCUGGCAUUUGGUUUGGGUUUGGUGGGGUUUUUUCUGCUUCUGAACCUGUUCACAUUGGUAAUAUGAACGCGCAUGCUCAGGACUAAAUGGACUGCAGAGACUUGGCCUCUUUAAAUAUGAGAGCAAUUUUCAGGCCUCUUCCAGUUGCACUUAUUUCACUGAAAAAAAAAAAUCCAAACAACCAAACAAACCCCCCAAACAACCAAAAAACAGAACAAAAGAUAAAUAUGAGGAGCUGUGGAAAUGCCUCAGACUUCCUCUGUUUAAUUCCUGGUGGUCACAGUGCCAGGUGAUGUUGCCAUUUAUGCUUUCUUCUGUAGUGCCUGGCUUGAAUGAUCCGAAAGCAGCAAGCUAAGUUAAAUGCAUGACUGUGAUCAAAAGAGAAUGACGCCUCUAUUUUUUGUGCCAGCCUGCAGGCCCUUAGGUUUGGAAUCUGAGUCUUUGAAAACCAAGGUUACUGGACUCUAGUAAAUGAAGUGUCCGGAUGUUACUGAUGAUUCAUAAAAGCAAUUAAAAAAGGAAAGUGCUUUUCCGCUGAGCGUAAUGUCUUGGUUUGAAGAUAUCCUUAAGUGUGUGUGUAAUGCUGCAAAUAGUGGUCAGUGGGUAGUGACCACUGUGCUAGAGAUUAUGGAUCUGUUUCCAGCAUAAUGCUUCUUUUCACAUGGUUCUGAUGAUCAAAUCCUUUUUUUUUUUCUUUGGUAGUUGAAUUUUUCUUAUUUAGUUUCUAUUUCAGAAUAGUUUCCAUCUCUUCCUACUUCUUAAAUUGGUGAAAAAAAUCUGCUGAGGUGGUAUAUUUUCCGUGGGAGAAACAUGUUAUUUGCAGCGUAAAUAUUGAAGAUGGCAAAUAAUUGAAAUUUAUCAAAUAUUACCCCCCUCCCCCCCAUGCCACCCUCCUGCAUUUCAGAGCUGACCUUCCACAAACACAGAACGCCUCAUUUGUACAGCUUUCAAAGUGAUUUUCAAUAAGCAAGACUGAACUCAGUUAAAACAUGAGUAGGAUUAUUGUUGUAUACAAAGAUCCCUCAGCCCGGCCACAUUGCCUAAGCAAGAAGUAGACCCUGAGGCAUGCUCUACAAGCUUCUCCCUACAUGGCUUUUCAAGCCAUCUCCAACCAACCUGUUAGCUGUUAGUGAUGGCUACUAGGCUCUGCUGCUGCUGUUCUAGAGCAGCCCUUUCCAGUCUUACUUCCUUCUCCAAGUGGAUGCCUCUCGCUUCUCUUGGGGCCUGUGCAUAUUCCAAAGCUGGGGCUUCAGGUUGCUUUGCCCUCGCUUGGUCAGCCUACGUAUAUGUGCUAAAGGGAAGCAAAAUAGUUUACUGAUUUAUCAUGGAUCAUUAGAUGGAGUAACUAUUCUUAAAACAUCACCAGUAUAGAUACAAUUAUUAGAGGUGUGCUUUUGCUAACAUUGCCAGCCCCUACCCUCUUGUACAGUACCCUUGGGUACUAAAUAAUUACCCAUUUUGUGUGGUUAUCUAGCUCACUAAUUACCCACAAAAAUUGGGGUCAGGUGUUAACUGCUUGAAAUAAGUAUCCUCCAAAGACUUGGUUAAAUCGUAUAAAGAAAUCAUGUGUUUGCAACAAAAUUUUAAAAGAAAAAAAAUCAAACAUUUUUUUGGAAGGAAGAUAAGGGAACGUGCAAAAGACAAUAGAUGCAAAUUGUUUGGUGUGAUGGCAAAAUCUUGCCUGCUGCUGGGAUGGUGAGGGAAUCUGUAGGGAGAGUGAAAGGAUCGUUGGCAGAUACAGUCUCUCUAAUCCAGUCAACUUUUCCCAAAGAUUAGAUCCUUUAGUACACAGGGUUUGAUUCUUCCCCUAUCUAGGCUGAUGUCAAUCAGGAUUAUGUUGGUAUAAAUAAGAAAAUUUGUAUCCGUGAUUCCCUGGACCGACUUCACUGCAUAAUCCCACCUCUUCUCUCACCCAGGGACUUCUGCGUUGCCUCCAAUGAUCUAAUUAUGCAUUGUAUAUUUAUUUCCAUAUGUUUAUUUUAGUUGUUUCAAACUCUGUAUGCAUGCAGAAUUUCAUUCUGAGGCUGCUGCUCCUAAAAUGUAGCUUGCUUUGAGUAAUAAUUUAAUUCCUGUGCUCAGGGAGUUACCCCAGUGAGUCAAAGAUUUCUAGAUAGCCCCACCCUCCCCAACUUCCCGAACACUGCAGUCACUUUCUCUUUGCCAGACCCACACAAGAUGUCUAGCUAGCCAAAAUCCCAAGAGGCAGCUUCUCCUGCCUUCCCCAUUUUAGCCCCAGAAAACUAGGAAAUAAAGCCACAGGAGCCCUAAAGCCCUUGAAAUAGCCGGCACGUGUAACAGAGGGAUAGUUAAUAGACUGUCUUCCUAACCUGGUUUCUUGCAUCAGUGCUUGCUGUCUUCAAUACAAAGGAAACAUUUCAUCGGGCACUAAGAAGGUGUUUCUGAAAAUCCCACUGUGCACCUGUCAGGGUCUUUGGAUACCCAGAUACCUUUAAGUCCUAAGGAUCUGUGCAGUGCGUAGUGUUACAAGGAAACCACCUUCUUUAUUUAUUUCUGUAUUUUGCAUUAGGUGCUUCCUCUCCCUUGUAGCGAAGACUACCUUCUCUUCCCAUGAGCACAUUUGAAGCCUGUGCAGAGUCAGGUAUUAGGCAUCAACAGCCCCACCUCCCAUUUCCAUUGCUCAGGCAAGUGUGGGGUCUCAGGUAAGGCCCCACUCGGCUAGGUGUGUGCUGUCUUUUCAGGGGCAUACCUGCACUCCGCAUUGUGUACUGCAUCUCUGGGGAAUGCAGGGAUCAGCCCAGUAAAGCACAAUGCAGAUUUAGUCGUCAUCUUUGUCUUCCCCCCCACUCCUCUGCUCCCCGCUGAUGUUAACUGUCUGUAUUAUUAUUUAUUGUUAUCAAGGGAUUUGGUUUGAUCAAUGAAGUGUAUAUGCGUCUGACGGACAUUCGGAGAGGAAAUGCUUGGAGAAUGAGUAACAUGUCUGCAGCAGAGGGUGUGUGUGAGGGAGAGAGAGGGAGCAUCGGUACUAGAAACAUUGACUGAUGAGUUCAUUUUAAAAUCCAAGGGCAUAUAGCUGGUAAAUUAGCACAUAUUGCAAAUAUAGUCUGGUGUGAGAGGCAGCAGUGCUGCCAUUGAGCGGGGCGGGGUGGGGGGUGGAGGGUGUCGAGGAGAGGAGAUUGUCAGCUCUAAAGUCAUCACGGGCAUGAGCCAGGCUGUCUGCCUGCCUCAAUGCAGACGUGGGGCGUGCGAUUUCCACGGGCGGCUGCGGGCUGCAGUGUGGCGGAGGGGGGGAGCGGGGGAAACCGAGAUAGCAGCGGUGGAUUUUAUUGUUUUAAAAUCCAGAUCCAGCCAGAGGGAUGCUAGGCGAAGGGCUGCAGUCCCGCCACUCCCCGCCUCAUCCCCUUCUCUCUCACCCCCCCCCCCCCCCGCACCCCCUGAGGAGGGCAGCGUGGGGCGGGAGCGGGUGCCCGGCUGCCCGGGAGGGUCCCGGGGCUGGGCGCAGCGACAGGGGCUGCCCGGCGGCGGGACAGGCUGCGGCACCGGCACCGGGACGGGGCAGCCGCGCCGGAGAUGCGCCGGCGGCCGCGGCGGCGGGUUUUUCCCGGGAGCUUAAGAGCUUAUUGAGGAGGGGUGAGCGGGGCCGGUGUGUGUGUGCGAGGCUGGCGGCGGGGGGAGCGAGUCCUUAUUCUGUUAAAGAUUUAAGUAGGCAUGCAAGGAAUCUCUAGGAUAGUUGGCAAAGGGCGAGGGUGGGGAGGGGGGGGAAGGAUCCAAAAGAGUCUGUAACCAGACACUGAAGCUUUCCAGGAGUGAGAGUGUGUGAGAGAGACGGAGACAGAGCGAGAGGAAGAGAGGGGGCAGUGUGGUCUAGUACAUUUUCAUCUGGUCGUUGAUUUGAGCCUGAUGCUUGCUGUCCCUCAACAGCCUCCCUUGCCUGUAUUUUUUCUUUCCCCCUCUCCUUUCCCUUCUACUUCAUCGAAGCCUAGGGGAGCCAGUAAAGAUUAAAUGUGCUUUCUAAAAGGCAGCCACUUCAUGCAGCUAUGUCUACUCCCCCCCCCCCAGCUACCCCCCCACUCCCCCUAUUUGAAAUAAAAAAAAAAAAAACAAAAAAAAAAAAACCGGAGAGAGGGGGAGACAGAGAGGGGGAGAAGGAAGGAGGAGGAAGAGGAGGACUAUAGUUUAAUGAUGUCGGGACUGGCUGAUCCAUGAAGGAGGAAAAAAAAAAAAAAACCACACCAAAAAAAAAAACCAAACCAAAAAAUUGAGAUCCUGGACGAGGAAGGACUUUGGUGAAUGGGCUCAGACUCCUGAGGUGAGAAAAGGACGGGGAGUGAAUGAUGAUGAUUCCAUAAUGGUGCCUGUUACCGCUGCCCCCGGCCGUGCGGUGGCGGGGAGCGCCGGGGCACGGAGCCGGGCUGGCCCGGCGUGCGGGGCCGGGGCCGGGGGGGACCCGCUUUCGGCGGCGGGCGAGCAGCGGCGGAUAUUUUGCAUUUUUAAACUCGGGCCCUCCGGUACGUUUCGGCUUCUCCCCGCUUAUGCCGGUGGGCCUAAGCCGUUCCAGAGAUGGGUGGAGGGUGCAGAUCCGUAUUAUUUAUUUGGGCGGGGGGGGGGGGGGUGUGGGGGUGGAAGAGGGAGGAAAGGGAGGGAGGGAAGGAAGGGGAAAAGAGCGGAGAAGGAGGUGGCAAGCUGGGGACGAAAUGGUGCUCUCGGUUAUGGCCGGCGUAAAUUUCCAUUGGCUGGGGUUGCACAAGGUGCUUGGAGAGGAGUCGGUGCAGGAUGGAGUCCCUUUUGUGUGUGUGUGUGUGUGUGUGUGUGCGCGCACGGUGCUCGCGGACCCUUCUCUCCCGGGGAAGCGGGUUUUUCUCCAGGUUUUCCUUCGGAAGCGCUGCCCGCGGCUGGCAGGGGAGGGUGGCCGUGGCUGCGGCGGCGCUGCCCGCGCCCUCCCUCCCCGCUGACAGUCUGGGGCUGGCUCUGGCACCGGGCUGGCCCUGGCUCCGGCCGCCCCCAGCUGAUGCUGUAGUUAGGAGCGGGCCGCUGCUUGCAGACCCCCCCACCCCCCCACCCUCCCCAGCCCCUUCUCUUAAUAAUAAUAAUAAUAAUAAUAAUAACAACAAUAACAGCAGCAGCAUUGGAGGGUGCGCGGAGGGAGGAGGGCGGCAAGCGAGGAGCUGCGGAGGAAUUUGGUUCCUUUUCCUUUUCCCCCUUUUCUUUUCCUUGAUAUAUUCCCUUAAAAAAAAAAAAAAAAAAAAAAAAAAAAAAAAAAAAAAGAUGUUUUAAAAAUGCAAGCGGCUUGCCCAGCUGCACACACCCACCCUCGCCUCCCUCCCCCGGCUUGCGCACACCGCACGCUCGCACUCGCUCGCUCGCCCGCGCUCGCUCGGGUGUCAAAACCCGCCGGGCACCCAGCCUGGUCCGGGCACUGCCCCUGCCCCUGCCCCGAGCCCGCCCGGGGGUCCGCCCGCCCCUCGCCUCCCCGCCGCCGGGCUUUUCCCCCCCUGCUCUUGGCGCUGAAGAUCGGAGCCUCCCCCGCUUCCAAAUGGUGAGUUUCUACCUGAUUUUCUUGCAACUCGGGGUUUUUCUCCAUCCCUGCCGGCCGCGGGGCUGGCGGAGGGGGCGGGGAGGCAGCGCCUUUAUGCUGCUGCAUGCUUUGUGCCAGGCGGCUGGAGGGAGAGCCUGCAUAUUCCUGCUCUUAUUUCUGCAUUCCUUUUCGUUGAAACAAUGAAAAUAAUUCCGUCACUGCCCCAAACUUCCCUUUCUUUCCUCCUCUUCGUUAUUUAAACGCGGAGACUUUUCAUGUAUUUGUCGCAAGCGACCUUGUUGGAAGCUGUAAGGAACCUGCCGCGCCUUGUCAUUUUUGUAUAAACGAUUAAAAAUGGAAUGUAUUCUCUCAACAGAGGGUCCUUAGAGAAGCUCUUUCCUUCCACCUGUGUGUCCUGUUUUGUAAUCUUGAUCCAUGAAUUGAACUUGCCUGCUAUUCUUUUCCUCUUUCUCCUUUUUAUCUUUUAUUUUUGAUCCCUGUUUUUUGCAAGAAAUAGUUUGUUGCGCCCCUCUCAAUCCCUGAGACCCUAACUUGUGAUGUUUAGCUUUUAAAUCCACGGGUUAGGCUCUUGGGAGCUGUGAGUUGUGCUUUGACAUCUUUAUUUUAUAAAUAUAUCAUAUAUAUAUGUAUAUGUGUGUGCGCGCGUGUGUGUAUAUAUAUAUAGACAUAUACACACACAUACAACAGUGUUUAGUAGACCUUUUAAGGGAAAAACGUGCAUCCUCUGUAGGGUUGAUCGGCUAAUAGUAGGGCGGUGGUUAUGGCCAUAUACUGUAAAAAUAUCUCAAAUUAAAACUAGCGUUUGUACAGCAGAUUUGUGUGUGUGUAUAUUCAAGCUAUAAUUUUACAGCUGAUACAGAUAUGGGGGUGUAUGUGUGUACACAUAUAGUGAUAUUAUAUAUGCGUGUGUAGAUAAGAUAUACACGAUAUGGAUGCAUGUAAUAUAGCUAUUGAGGUGUGUGUAUAGAUACACAUAUGGAUGAUAUGUGUGUAUGAAUAUGUAUGUAGGCAAAUAAAACCCUAGAUAUGUAUAUAUAUUUACAUAUGUAGGUAUAUUAAUAGACAUGCCAGUGUUUUCAUAUUGAGAGAGAUUUGCCUUGCUGCAGGCCACUGCAUAUAGCAUCUCUCUUCCCCCCCCCCCCCCCCCCCCCCCCUUUUUUUUCCCCCCUUCCCUCCCUUCUUGAGAGCAACACAGAGUACCCUGAGAGCGUAACAGUAACAGCUCGGUACAUUCGUGCUUGACCUCAGCUGAAAUCCCAGCAUGCCUCAUGCUUCCAAGUUUAAAACUGAACGAUUAAUCUUAGAAAUGUGCUCUAUGGACACACACACACACACACACACACACACACACACACAAAAGGGAAAAAACCCCCAACAGUGAAAAAGCCAGGAGACCGGUUGGAUCUUAUGGAUCGUUAGGUCAAAAAUAAACUAAAUAAUAAAAUGGUUGUGUGUACUAAUGGUUGGAAACUACUAAAAAGAAAUUCUGAGCCAAUGGUGAAGUUUUGUCUUAGUCUUUUUCUAGAACUUAAAACUUUCCUGCUUUUCCAGUCAAAAAAAUAUGUAAAUGACAAAUCAGAAAUGUUAAAAAUGUUUGCUGCUGCUGUUUUUCUUUAUUAGAUUUUUACAUUGCUGUAAAAUUAAUUUUGAUUGGUACUGUAUUUCUUAUCUCUGUUUUGCGAGGCAAUUUAUAAUGAAGUUACUGUACCUUGUUAUGGCACCGAUUUACUGUUUGAUAUUUGAAUGCAAAUGCUUUAACUUAAACCACAAUGCACCAAAAAUUAAUUGAUGGUGUAACAUUUUGGUAUUUGGUAGCUCAGGGUAUGUUUGAUGGUUUCCAUUGUUUAAUAGUUAUCAAACUGGAAAAGGUUGCUUGUUCGAUAUUUUUUUUUAAGCUUUUUAAUGACACUGUAAUUUCAUUGAGUAUUUUACCUCUAUGGAAAAAAAAAUGCCAGCAAAGCCUUUCACUUCUGAAUUUGUGUGUUUUUCCAAACGUCUUCUAAUUUCAAAGUGAGAAACUUAUUCUGCGUUGCGUUUAUUUUCUGUUUACCUGUUCGGCGUUGUAAAUCAGGAUAGGAUACGGUAGUACCCGGCCACCUUUGUCCAGCUAUUCCCCCCACCUCAGAGACGGGCAAAAAGUAGUUUUUUCCCUUCUGAAGCUGUUUUUAAUCGCUGUUGUUGUUGUUUCCCCCCCCCCCCCCCCCCCCAGCUUGGGGGGAAGGGGCGAGCGCUUUUGUCUGCCCCGGGCUCGCAGCCGCCUGCGGUGCCCGUCCCCGCAUCCCCGCCGGCUGGCACCGCGCUGCGCCCUUGCCGGAGGGGGGUCACCGGGGAGCCCCCCGGCGCGGCCGCGCCCGCACCCCUCCGCGGAGCCCCUCCCUCCCCGGCGGCUGCAGCACCGCUAUUGUCUCCGCGCUGCGCGGUGCGGAGCGGAGCCAGGCGGGAGUUGCGCGGGGCUGCGGCAAAACAAGGCGGGGGGGGGGAGGGGGCGCUGGCGGCCGGCCCUGCGGCUGCGGGGGCAGGGCCCGCUCCCCUCCCCGCCGGGCGCGCAGCGCUCCGCUCCGGCGCAGCGAAGAGCAUAAUUGGGAGCGGGUUCAAUCACUACCAGUCUAGACUCGCCCAGACACAUCAAUUAGCGGCGCUGGCGUUUUAAAGGCGCAGCGCGGCUGGAAGCAGCCCGGGCCGCGGGAGCCGCAGCGCGGCGAGCGAGCGGAAUAAAACCCAACGCAAUGAAAAACAGUUGGCAGGGAUUAAAAUAAGGAGGAAGCCCGAAAACUAGGCUCCCCCACUUUCCAUUUCCAGUGGAAAAGGCGAGGUUCUUGCGAGAAGAAAACGUGGGAAUAGGAGCUGAAGCACAGCGUAAGGCAUCCCGCAGCCCGCCGGCGCGGGGCUUCGCGGCCGGGCCGCUGCCCGCCGGCCGAGGGGGCGUCAGCCCCACCGAACCUCGGCGCCUUAUCAAUACCCCCUUGGAACAACUUCUUUGCAAGCAAAUGUAAAUCAGUGCGGAACUACUCCUGCAACGGUUUUUACCUUCUGCAGACAAAAGAAGGGAUGUUGAGUUUUGGGUUUAUUUUUGCUUUAUAUAUAUACAGACAAAUUAUAUUUUAUAUAUAUAUGUAUUUAUCUAUAUAUAUUUAAUAUAUAUAUAGCUACAAGGCUACCUUGUCUUAGUAUUACACAGUUUCUUCAGUGACAAUUUCAUCAGUCUCUGUAGUUGCACGUUUUCACUGGAAUAAAAGGAAGCUGUGGACAAAAAGACAGUUUUUUAUCUUAAGAGGGAAAUGGAAGAGAAAAUAAACCUUAGGUGUUAAUUUAAUUAACAAAUAGAAUAAGUAAACUGGGCUUAGUAAGGAUUGAAGAUCUUAUUCAGCCACUAAGAAAAAUACCAGACUGGGACUAGUUUCAAUUAAAAGUAUUUCUAAUAUGCUACCAUGACAUCUAAUAUAACACGUUCCCAAGUACUCUGUGCAAUACGUGAUGCAAAUAAUUAAAAAGGAGAAAGAUAGACAAAGCCAGGUAUAUUUUUUCUUGAGUAGUGCUUUUUUAAAAAAAAUCACGCAAAUUUUGAAAAACUCUAGUGUCUAGAAGUUCUGUCUGGGCAGUCGCUGUAGCAUUUGGCUCUGUGACUUUGACCUUGUUGCAGCUUAGUUGGAACUUGCUUUCCCAGGUUGAAAGGCAUGGGGUUUGGUGGCAGCAAAAGGUAAAAAAGGUCCAAGGCAUUCUGCAGUUUCCCAUUGUUGCUCUUUUAUUUCAAGGGUUUUAACGGUACCUAAAGUUGCAUAGUACUGCAGCUCAGAAAAUGGAGAAUACUUGUACUAUCUGUCUUUCCUGAAUAAUUUCCAAUUACUAAUUGGGCCAGAUACCAAAUUAUAGUUGAGAUACUACGUAGUGGCUAGUACUGAUUUGACUGAUUAAUUUCUAAUCAAUUUCUGAAUCAAAACUUCAUUCGUGUUAUAAAUCCUGGAUAUUAAAAUGCAACUUAAGUUGAAAUCUGAUUGCAGCCUCUUCACAAAGUCGUAUGAACUCAGUCAAAAUGCUAGUUGAAAAUGGCAUAAUAUACCUCUUUUUUUCUGUUGAAUUUGUUAGCUUCUAAUUUCUCUGCAAUGAAGUCCUUGGCCAUACUUCAGCACUUUAAAGCAAUGAAGCGUUUAUUCAUAGUAUGUUUGUGCAGCAGCCUGAUAAUCAUAGAAGGCACUGUAGUACCCAGAGUAUAAGGUAAAUGUUAAUCUGCACCUCUAACCCCUGUCAAAUGAUUUUGACUGUUUUAGUGGCCACUUCCCUUUCAUGCUACCCUGAUUUUGUUCACUUUUCUGUGAGUGAGGUGGAAUGCAGCCACACAGUUAAGAAGUUCAAAAUGCGGGCUUGUGAAAGGUGCAAGUUUCCCAGUGUCUGUGUGCAGCUCUGCACAAGGCUGGUGCGCACGGUGCUUGGAAGAGGAGCCUCUCUGCCAACUGUACCGCAUUCUUGCUGCCCUGCCUUUUUCCCAGGGCUCAGAAGGAAAGAGCAUCCCAGUUCUUCUUCACUCUAGGGAACACACACAUUGUUUCAAUAAUCCAGGCAAUAAAUGCUAAUUAGUAAUGCUUAAGGACCCUACCAGUCAGAGUAAUUAUCAUAAUUUACCUCUUCCUUGUUAAAAACAUUCCUUGCUGAUUUAAAAUUUUUUGAAGAGAUAGUUUCUUUCCUCUUCCCCUGGAAAGCAUUCCUUGUUACAUUAGCAACGAGCGCAUGGGUCUGCUGUAGCACUGGAAAACAUUUCACAUAUUGCGUGGGGAACCGGAGCUGGAGAUAAACACAUGUAAAGGUUUUCCCACACAUAAAAAAACAUUUUAAAACUGAUAUUUUUUCCUUUGCCUUCCUUCUCUGCUCCCCCUGCUUUCCCCAGCACCACCAAAAACCACUUACAGAGGGAGAACAAAGGAAAUUGCUAACUAUAAAGGGAUCAUUAAGUAUGAACAGCAACAGCAAGAUAGUGUGAUAUGACAACAUAUUUUGUUGCACAAAAGUAGAGAUAAUUAAAUAAUUCAGUGGUAUUCUUAACUAAUUAGCACAAAGAUCUUUCGGAAGCCAUCGGGAAAAUGGAAAUCAUCAAAUCUAAUAAUAUGCUACAUUUCCCAAAGACACUGUGUUUUCCAGUGUUGCUACUGCUUCACCACCUGAUACAGUGACACAAAAGGUUACAAGUAGUUGCACAUUUAUUUGGGCUGUUUCUCAAGAUAAUCUUUUCUGCAUAAGGUGAUUAAGUAUUUGAAGGAAAUCAAUAUGUAUAGCUGGAAUUUUCAGUGUUAGUCGAUAGUAGAGAAAAAGAUCAUAGCUUCAGAAAAGCCAGAUCUAUUAUUAUAAGUGAUCCAUUAAAAAGAUUAAAUUAUCAGCUCAGAGCCAUUCUUGGGUUGACUGUGAUGGGCCUGACUCAUUUUGAUUUGGAGUUGGUGAAUGAAUGCUGGAGUCCAAGAUCUUUUUAUAGAGUUAAUUGGGGACCUAGACUGCCUGUUUUCAGCUUUUCUUGACAUUGAGAAGUGUGUGGCAGAGUCUGGGAGAAGUCUGGGACCUCUGGUUUAAUGUGGGCUCUAAUUUCAAGGCCAGAGCAUUGUCUCAUUUGCCAGUGGUACAAACUGGGAAGAGCUCCAUUCUCAUCAGUGGAGUUCUUUCCAGUCUUUGGUAGGACGACUAUAACUAUCAUGCCAUGCAAACACUUUCUUCUCUAGAUGCAUGAGGUUUUUAGCUGGAAUCAGUGGCUGUAUGUAUCCAUGAGCACAAUCCAGGCCAGGUUAGCCAUCUACAGAUCCUAUACAGGGGAAUGGGCUGCAUGGACAAGUACCUGCAGGGCAUUGAUACUGCCACUGAAAAACUGCUAGGCAUGUUCUUAGUAAUUAGGUGCAUCAAAUAUUACUCAGAAUAUCUCAUUAUACUCUUUUGAUCUAAAUGUAUCCACAAGUUCAUGUGACACAUUUACAAACUGUAAUUUACUGCCUCUAUGUUUGAUGUAUUUAAGGUUACUUUUUCCUCUGCCAAACAAAGGGUUGUCUGAAAAUUUGACUUUACCAGUCAUUUAAACAUUUUCUGUUUCAAGUAAAAUGUCAGUGUGCAGCUCACCCUUUAAAUAAUGGAAGGGCGUGUGCAUCAGUCUUUUAGGUACAGCACUAGUUCUUGCUUUUACUCUGAGCCCAAACUGAACUUUACUCCUGCGUUACAGUUAUGGUGCAGGUUGACUCCAUGGACUACCCAGAAAAGUAAUGCUGUGGGGUAAGAUGCUCUGGUUUGUAAUUAAUGCAUGGAAGGUAGAACUUGGAGGCUCAUCCUGAAAUCGCACGGUGCCUAAGAUAGCAGUGUCCCUAGUACAUGGAAAGAGACUUUUCCUUCCUCAAAAGAGAUGGAGGCUGAUUUAUACAAGAUAGAUGAAGGGAACACGAGGGGAAAAGGCACCUAAAAGUGAUUUGCCCAAGGAAGCACAGCACACCAUUAGCAAAGCAAUAAUGCAUGUCUCCUGGUUUACAGGGCUGCUAUACACGUGUACAUUCUUCCUCAGUGGAACUUUCCAGGUUGUGAAUAAGGUUACUGAUAUACCAGGAGACCCUCUUGUGUACCUCCAGAUGUAAUCAUGAAAGAGUGUGUUACUUCUGUAAGCAAGUCAUGCAUUUAUUCUCUUUCAUUUUUGUGUCAUUCACCCAAUGCUGUAUUUGCUAUACAAGGCCACUACAACCCAUUAAAAAAAAAGAUAUUUUUCAAGAUGAAAGAUGAGUCUCUGAUUUACAUGGUAGUCAAAGUGACUGUGGAAGGCUGAGACUACUGCAGUCAUUUUUAUUUAACAGCUCUUCCCACAGUGUAGUCAAUGAAUCUCUAAUCUCCUGAACUGAAACAUCUGACACUUACAGAAUCAUUUAUUUGCUGGCCCUUGUGUCCGUGAUCGACUGUGUCGUGCUCACAGAGCUCCACCCAUAGCAGUGUCUUUUAGGUGGGCUGAUGGUACAUUGGAUAUAAAUUAUAUGUUCUUUAAGGGGAGGUGGGGGAUGGGGCAGGUGGGAUAAAAGGAUGAGUAUAGGCUUUACUGUGCAAUAUGUGCUUCUCAUGCUGUCCUUGAAGUAAGGGGUAGUAUCCAGCAGCAACUGUUGAAGGAUGGCUUGGGCUUCUGAGAAGCAAGGAGUAGAAAUUUAAUUUGUGCUGCUGACUCUCAGACCAUGGCUACUCAUGACAAAGAGCCAGCAUGCUGGCCGAAACUUGGUGCUAUUUGCUGUUGUAUGCCUUUGGAAGACGGGACAGAAGGGGUGCCCUUUGGUGUCCUGUGUGGCAAAGAGGAGGAUAAGCUACGUCAGCUCCUGAGAGAAGUCUCCGAACAGCUCCCUCUGGCUACUACAAGAAGCUGAACGGAUGGCUUCUGUUCCCUGGAAGCUGUGUCUGAUGAUCACAGGCCAUUAGGUACUUCUCACUUGACUGCCCUGCUGGUAACUCCACUUUUAAGAUGAAUUAUGCAAGGAAUCCUGUGAAGCAUCAGACAUUCAGGAGCUGAGGAUUAGGAAGAGCCCUCUCUCAGUGUUGAACUCAUUUCUGGAUAAAAAUCUGAGACUCACCUGGAUUCCAGCUUCUCCGGAAAGGACAAAAAGUGAAAAGGAGCCAAAAAUAAUCAGUGGACUUUGGUUUUCCUGUGCAUGUGUGCUUGUAUCAUGUCUGAACUUGCAAAGAAUAUACUUUUUUAUUCACAAGGAAUCCAGUAAAUGGUGAAUCUGUAAAUCA
Long non-coding RNA from Falco peregrinus (peregrine falcon), 18703 nucleotides. RefSeq lists it as uncharacterized. The record is from RefSeq and is a predicted model, not a curated record. The transcript is spliced from 7 exons. NCBI's taxonomy places the organism in Eukaryota, Metazoa, Chordata, Aves, Falconiformes, Falconidae.